Molecule: ribosomal RNA, 583 nt
Filed under: Acidovorax sp. HPC839
Lineage: Bacteria; Pseudomonadati; Pseudomonadota; Betaproteobacteria; Burkholderiales; Comamonadaceae
Description: bacterial SSU rRNA
Rfam family: Bacterial small subunit ribosomal RNA
Source: RNAcentral
AAGUCGUACGCGGUAUGCCUUACUUUGCACGUCGUCCAGGGUAUCCUUACCGGGUCUUAGUGUAGUCGGACCGGGUGACCAGGGUUUCUAAACGGGGCCACUGGGGAGCGAUAACGUGGCACAAGGUUUCCUAAUACCGCAUAAGAUCUACGGAUGAAAGCGGGGGAUCUUCGGACCUCGCGCGGACGGAGCGGCCGAUGGCAAAUUAGGUAGUUGGUGGGAUAAAAGCUUACCAAGCCGACGAUCUGUAGCUGGUCUGAGAGGAUGAUCAGCCACACUGGGACUGAGACACGGCCCAGACUCCUACGGGAGGCAGCAGUGGGGAAUUUUGGACAAUGGGCGAAAGCCUGAUCCAGCCAUGCCGCGUGCGGGAUGAAGGCCUUCGGGUUGUAAACUGCUUUUGUACGGAACGAAAAGCCUCUUUCUAAUAAAGAGGGGUCAUGACGGUACCGUAAGAAUAAGCACCGGCUAACUACGUGCCAGCAGCCGCGGUAAUACGUAGGGUGCAAGCGUUAAUCGGAAUUACUGGGCGUAAAGCGUGCGCAGGCGGUUUUGUAAGACAGAGGUGAAAUCCCCGGGCUCA